Molecule: ribosomal RNA, 253 nt
Filed under: uncultured bacterium
Lineage: Bacteria
Description: partial 16S ribosomal RNA
Rfam family: Bacterial small subunit ribosomal RNA
Source: RNAcentral
UACAGAGGUCCCAAGCGUUGUUCGGAUUCACUGGGCGUAAAGGGUGCGUAGGUGGCGAGGUAAGUCGGAUGUGAAAUCUCCGAGCUCAACUCGGAAAUGGCAUUGGAAACUACCUUGCUUGAGGGUCGGAGGGGGGACUGGAAUUCUCGGUGUAGCAGUGAAAUGCGUAGAUAUCUGGAGGAACACCGGUGGCGAAGGCGGCAUCCUGGACCGACACUGACACUGAGGAGCGAAAGCCAGGGGAGCAAACGGG